This 924-nucleotide ribosomal RNA is filed under the name Triticum aestivum (bread wheat). Its description in RNAcentral is "partial small subunit ribosomal RNA". The record is from RNAcentral. Lineage: Eukaryota; Viridiplantae; Streptophyta; Magnoliopsida; Poales; Poaceae.
AUGCGGGGUACACGGUUACGUGAGCCAAGCCAUGUCAAUGCUCAAGCACCGCGCUGCUGCUGCCGUCUCUUGGCCACGGCCACGGCCACUGCGACACCGAGCAGGGCCACGACAGGAGCAACCAACAUGCCCCACGGGAACCUCGCACGCCGCAUGGGCCUCCGUCGUCCUCUCCCGCGACUGCGUCGCUUGCCCUUGCGGCUACCCUCCUCGCCGUUGUCCUCACCAGUGCUAUUACUUGAUUCGUCGCUGCCCUCGGAUGGCUUUGCCUCUGUUGGUGCAAUAGGUGGCUCCUCGACCAGUGUUGGGUCCACGGGAUGUGGCUCCAGCACUGGUGGCAGUUCCACGUGGAGUGGCUCCUCAACGGGCGCCGGAGAAUCCUUGGCAGGUGGUUUUGUAGCAGGCGUUGGCUUCUCAACCGAUGGUGGGUCAACGGGUGACGGUUCCACAAGCGGGUUGACUGGCGGAUAUUCGGCAGGUGACUCCUCGAUGGGUGAUGGUGGGUCCACUAGCGGAUAUUCGGCAGGUGACUCCUCGAUGGGUGGCGGUUCUACGAGUGGUUCGACCGGCGCUGAAGGCUCCUCGGCAGGUGGGUCCACCGGUUGCUCUUCGGUGGGUGGCUCCUCCAUGGAUGGCGGUUCCACGGGCGGGUCGGCCGGUGCCAGAGGCUCCUCAGCUGGUGGUGGCCCCUCAACCAGUGGCUUGGGCUCCUUGAUGACAUCGGGCGGCGUCUUGAUUGGCGGGUGUCGGGGCUCCGGCUCGAGCUCGACAUCACACGGGAUGUCGACCGACGGGUCUGCCACGUCGUCAGCUUAUGGGUCUCUUGCAGGGCGAGGUCGAGGUCCAUUGCCUAGCUCGUCGUGUGUGUGCAUCAUCUGUGGGCUGUGGCAGGGCGAAAUGCAAAGCUGGCUUGGUGUCGAUUGA